This 255-nucleotide ribosomal RNA is filed under the name uncultured bacterium. Its description in RNAcentral is "partial 16S ribosomal RNA". It matches the Rfam family "Bacterial small subunit ribosomal RNA", at positions 524 to 776 of the family's 1533-position model. The record is from RNAcentral.
UACGUAGGGCGCAAGCGUUGUCCGGAUUUAUUGGGCGUAAAGAGCUCGUAGGCGGUCUGUCGCGUCGGCUGUGAAAUCCCGAGGCUCAACCUCGGGUCUGCAGUCGAUACGGGCAAACUAGAGUAUUGCAGGGGAGACUGGAAAUUCCUGGUGUAGCGGUGAAAUGCGCAGAUAUCAGGAGGAACACCGGUGGCGAAGGCGGGUCUCUGGGCAAUAACUGACGCUGAGGAGCGAAAGCGUGGGGGAGCGAACAGG